UGAGGAAUAUUGGUCAAUGGGCGAGAGCCUGAACCAGCCAAGUCGCGUGAAGGAAGAAGGUUCUAUGGAUUGUAAACUUCUUUUGCAUGGGAAUAAAGUGAGCUACGAGUAGUUUAUUGUAUGUACUGUGCGAAUAAGGAUCGGCUAACUCCGUGCCAGCAGCCGCGGUAAUACGGAGGCUCCGAGCGUUAUCCGGAUUUAUUGGGUUUAAAGGGUGCGUAGGCGGGAGAUUAAGUCAGCGGUGAAAGUUUGCAGCUUAACUGUAAAAUUGCCGUUGAAACUGAUUUUCUUGAGUGUAAAUAAGGUAGGCGGAAUGUGUUGUGUAGCGGUGAAAUGCAUAGAUAUAACACAGAACCCCGAUUGCGAAGGCAGCUUACCGGGCUACAACUGACGCUGAGGCACGAAAGCGUGGGGAUCAAACA
RNAcentral lists this ribosomal RNA (422 nucleotides) under uncultured prokaryote. RNAcentral's name for it is "bacterial SSU rRNA". It matches the Rfam family "Bacterial small subunit ribosomal RNA", at positions 355 to 774 of the family's 1533-position model. The record is from RNAcentral.